UGGAGUAGGGAAGAAGUUAGGGUCAGUGGCAGAGCCAGGCAGAUGCUGACACUUUUUCUCUUCCCCAG
MicroRNA precursor from Mandrillus leucophaeus (drill), 68 nucleotides. Lineage: Eukaryota; Metazoa; Chordata; Mammalia; Primates; Cercopithecidae. The record is from Ensembl.